This 454-nucleotide ribosomal RNA is filed under the name uncultured Alistipes sp. RNAcentral's name for it is "partial 16S ribosomal RNA". It matches the Rfam family "Bacterial small subunit ribosomal RNA", at positions 341 to 792 of the family's 1533-position model. Lineage: Bacteria; Pseudomonadati; Bacteroidota; Bacteroidia; Bacteroidales; Rikenellaceae. The record is from RNAcentral.
ACGGAAGGCAGCAGUGAGGAAUAUUGGUCAAUGGACGGAAGUCUGAACCAGCCAAGUCGCGUGCGGGAUGAAGGCCCUACGGGUCGUAAACCGCUUUUGUACGGGGAUAAAGUCACCCACGUGUGGGUGUUUGUAGAUACCGUAAGAAUAAGGAUCGGCUAACUCCGUGCCAGCAGCCGCGGUAAUACGGAGGAUCCGAGCGUUAUCCGGAUUUAUUGGGUUUAAAGGGUGCGCAGGCGGGCUGCUAAGUCUCCGGUGAAAUGUCAGGGCUCAACCUUGGCACUGCCGGAGAUACUGGCGGCCUUGAGAGUGGCGGAGGUAUCCGGAAUGUGUGGUGUAGCGGUGAAAUGCAUAGAUAUCACACAGAACACCGAUUGCGAAGGCAGGAUACCAUACCAUAUCUAACGCUCAGGCACGAAAGCGUGGGGAUCGAACAGGAUUAGAUACCCUGGUA